AGCUAAUAGAUACCCAGGUAGUCCCAGCAGUAAACGGUGCGCGUUUGGUGUGAGCAGGUUCGACCCUGUUCGCGCCGGAGCUAACGCGUUAAACGCGCCGCCUGGGAAGUACGAUCGCAAGAUUAAAACUCAAAGAAAUUGACGGGGGCCCGCACAAGCGGUGGAGUAUGUGGCUUAAUUCGAUGCAACGCGAAGAACCUUACCUGGGUUUGACAUGCAUCUCUAAGGCGGUGAAAGCUGCCGAGGGUAGCAAUACCCAAUUUGCACAGGUGCUGCAUGGCUGUCGUCAGCUCGUGUCGUGAGAUGUUGGGUUAAGUCCCGCAACGAGCGCAACCCUUGUAUGCUGUUGCCAUGAUUACUCAUGGCUCUCUGCGUAGACUGCCCCGUGAAACGGGGAGGAAGUGGGAUGACGUCAAGUCAGCAUGGCCCUUACACCCAGGGCUGCACACGUACUACAAUGCCCAGUACAAUUCGAACCGUCCGCGAGGGCUGGGAAAUCAGCGAAAACUGGGCUCAGUUC
This 520-nucleotide ribosomal RNA is filed under the name uncultured bacterium. RNAcentral describes it as "bacterial SSU rRNA". It matches the Rfam family "Bacterial small subunit ribosomal RNA", at positions 767 to 1294 of the family's 1533-position model. The record is from RNAcentral.